UAAGGAAUAUUGGUCAAUGGACGCAAGUCUGAACCAGCCAUGCCGCGUGAAGGAUGAAGGUCCUCUGGAUUGUAAACUUCUUUUAUCUGGGACGAAAACGGGAUUUUUAUCUCAAUUGACGGUACCAUAGGAAUAAGCACCGGCUAACUCCGUGCCAGCAGCCGCGGUAAUACGGAGGGUGCAAGCGUUAUCCGGAUUUACUGGGUUUAAAGGGUGCGUAGGCGGAUGAAUAAGUCAGUGGUGAAAUCUCCGAGCUUAACUCGGAAACUGCCGUUGAUACUAUUUGUCUUGAAUAUUGUGGAGGUAAGCGGAAUAUGUCAUGUAGCGGUGAAAUGCUUAGAUAUGACAUAGAACACCAAUUGCGAAGGCAGCUUGCUACACAAUCAUUGACGCUGAGGCACGAAAGCGUGGGGAUCAAACA
Molecule: ribosomal RNA, 421 nt
Filed under: uncultured bacterium
Lineage: Bacteria
Description: bacterial SSU rRNA
Rfam family: Bacterial small subunit ribosomal RNA
Source: RNAcentral